Molecule: ribosomal RNA, 934 nt
Filed under: marine metagenome
Description: bacterial SSU rRNA
Rfam family: Bacterial small subunit ribosomal RNA
Source: RNAcentral
ACGAAAGUCUGACGGAGCGACGCUGCGUGAAGGAUGAAGGCCCGUGGGUUGUAAACUUCUUUUCUCGAAGAAGAAAAAAAUGACGGUAUUCGAGGAAUAAGCAUCGGCUAACUCUGUGCCAGCAGCCGCGGUAAGACAGAGGAUGCAAGUGUUAUUCGGAAUGAUUGGGCGUAAAGAGUCUGUAGGCGGUUUAGAAAGUCUUUUGUGAAAUACUUCAGCUCAACUGAGGCUCCGCAAAAGAAACUUCUAGACUUGAGGAAAGUAGAGGUACAGGGAAUUUCCGGUGGAGCGGUGAAAUGCGUAGAUAUCGGAAGGAACACCAAUAUGGCGAAGGCACUGUACUGGGCUUUUCCUGACGCUCAGAGACGAAAGCUGAAGGAGUGAUUAGGAUUAGAUACCCUAGUAAUUUCAGCCGUAAACGAUGAAAACUCACUGUCGAGCCAAUAUAUGGAGCGGUGGUCAAGCUAACGCGUGAAGUUUUCCGCCUGGGGAUUACGCUUGCAAAAGUGAAACUCAAAGGAAUUGACGGGGACCCGCACAAGCGGUGGAGUAUGUGGUUUAAUUCGAUGCAACGCGAAAAACCUUACCAGGGUUUGAAAUAAUUUCAAAACUUCUUGAAAGAGAAGCCUCCUUCGGGAUGGAAUUACAGGUGGUGCAUGGCUGUCGUCAGCUCGUGUUGUGAAAUGUCAAGUUAAGUCUUGUAACGAGCGCAACCCAUGUCUCUUGUUGCUGUUUACAGUGCUUAAGAGAAACUGCCGAUCAACAUCGGAGGAAGGUGUGGAUGAUGUCAAGUCAGCAUGCCCCUUACAUCCUGGGCUACACACGUACUACAAUGGUCGAGACAAAGGGUCGCUAACCUGCAAAGGCAUGCCAAUCUCAUAAACUCGAUCUCAGUUCGGAUUGUACUCUGCAACUCGAGUACAUGAAGGUGGAA